This 330-nucleotide ribosomal RNA is filed under the name uncultured eukaryote. Its description in RNAcentral is "partial 18S ribosomal RNA". It matches the Rfam family "Eukaryotic small subunit ribosomal RNA", at positions 1470 to 1796 of the family's 1831-position model. The record is from RNAcentral.
CCCUUAGAUGUUUUGGGCCGCACGCGCGCUACACUGAUGAAUUCAACGAGCUCCUAACCUAGGCCGAAGGGUCCGGGUAAUCUUUGAAAUUUCAUCGUGAUGGGGAUAGAUUAUUGCAAUUAUUAAUCUUCAACGAGGAAUUCCUAGUAAGCGCGAGUCAUCAGCUCGCGUUGAUUACGUCCCUGCCCUUUGUACACACCGCCCGUCGCUCCUACCGAUUGAAUGGUCCGGUGAAAUGUUCGGACCGCGACAAGGCGGACGGUUCGCUGUCAGCUUUGCUGCGGGAAGUUCAUUAAACCUUAUCAUUUAGAGGAAGGAGAAGUCGUAACA